This 557-nucleotide ribosomal RNA is filed under the name Rhodotorula glutinis. RNAcentral describes it as "partial large subunit ribosomal RNA". It matches the Rfam family "Eukaryotic large subunit ribosomal RNA", at positions 50 to 612 of the family's 3401-position model. Lineage: Eukaryota; Fungi; Basidiomycota; Microbotryomycetes; Sporidiobolales; Sporidiobolaceae. The record is from RNAcentral.
GCGGAGGAAAAGAAACUAACAAGGAUUCCCCUAGUAGCGGCGAGCGAAGCGGGAAGAGCUCAAAUUUAUAAUCUGGCACCUUCGGUGUCCGAGUUGUAAUCUCUAGAAGUGUUUUCCGCGUUGGACCGCACACAAGUCUGUUGGAAUACAGCGGCAUAGUGGUGAAACCCCCGUAUAUGGUGCGGACGCCCAGCGCUUUGUGAUACACUUUCAAUGAGUCGAGUUGUUUGGGAAUGCAGCUCAAAUUGGGUGGUAAAUUCCAUCUAAAGCUAAAUAUUGGCGAGAGACCGAUAGCGAACAAGUACCGUGAGGGAAAGAUGAAAAGCACUUUGGAAAGAGAGUUAACAGUACGUGAAAUUGUUGGAAGGGAAACGCUUGAAGUCAGACUUGCUUGCCGGAGCUUGCUUCGGUUUGCAGGCCAGCAUCAGUUUUCCGGGGUGGAUAAUAACGGUUUGAAGGUAGCAGUCUCGGCUGUGUUAUAGCUUUCCGUUGGAUACAUCCUGGGGGACUGAGGAACGCAGCGUGCUUUUUGCGAAAGACUCGUCUUUUUCACGCUU